RNAcentral lists this transfer RNA (75 nucleotides) under Microcaldota archaeon. RNAcentral's name for it is "Candidatus Micrarchaeota archaeon (hot springs metagenome) tRNA-Thr". It matches the Rfam family "tRNA". Rfam says of the family: Transfer RNA (tRNA) molecules are approximately 80 nucleotides in length. Their secondary structure includes four short double-helical elements and three loops (D, anti-codon, and T loops). Lineage: Archaea; Nanobdellati; Microcaldota. The record is from RNAcentral.
GGACCUGUAACUCAGCCUGGUUAGAGUGCCAAGGUUGUGAACUGGAAGUCCGGGGUUCAAAUCCCCGCAGGUCCA